UGGGGAAUAUUUCACAAUGGGCGAAAGCCUGAUGCAGCGACGCCGCGUGAGGGAUGACGGCCUUCGGGUUGUAAACCUCUUUCAGCAGGGACGAAGCGCAAGUUACGGUACCUGCAGAAGAAGCACCGGCUAACUACGUGCCAGCAGCCGCGGUAAUACGUAGGGUGCAAGCGUUGUCCGGAAUUACUGGGCGUAAAGAGUUCGUAGGCGGUUUGUCGCGUCGUUUGUGAAAACCAGCAGCUCAACUGCUGGCUUGCAGGCGAUACGGGCAGACUUGAGUACUGCAGGGGAGACUGGAAUUCCUGGUGUAGCGGUGAAAUGCGCAGAUAUCAGGAGGAACACCGGUGGCGAAGGCGGGUCUCUGGGCAGUAACUGACGCUGAGGAACGAAAGCGUGGGUAGCGAACAGG
Molecule: ribosomal RNA, 409 nt
Filed under: bacterium
Lineage: Bacteria
Description: partial 16S ribosomal RNA
Rfam family: Bacterial small subunit ribosomal RNA
Source: RNAcentral